Molecule: ribosomal RNA, 406 nt
Filed under: uncultured bacterium
Lineage: Bacteria
Description: partial 16S ribosomal RNA
Rfam family: Bacterial small subunit ribosomal RNA
Source: RNAcentral
GAUGAACGCUAGCUACAGGCCUAACACAUGCAAGUCGAGGGACCGGCGCACGGGUGAGUAACACGUAUCCAACCUCCCCUGUACUCGGUGAUAGCCUUUCGAAAGAUAGAUUAAUACCCGAUAUAAAGGAUGGGGAUGCGUUCCAUUCGUUUGUUGGUGAGGUACCGGCUCACCAAGCAUUCGAUGGCUAGUGGUUCUGAGAGGCAGGUGCACCAGAGUGGAACUGAGGCACGGUCCAAACUACUACGGGGGGCAGCAGAGAGGAAUAUUGGUGAAUGGGGGCUAGCCUGAACCAGCCACGUGGCGUGAAGGAUGAAGGCUUAUGGGUCGUAAACUUCUUUUAUAUAAGAAUAGGUAUUAUAUGAAUAAGGAUCGGCUAACUCCGUGCCAGCAGCCGCGGUAAUUC